Molecule: non-coding RNA, 71 nt
Organism: Podarcis lilfordi (Lilford's wall lizard)
Lineage: Eukaryota; Metazoa; Chordata; Lepidosauria; Squamata; Lacertidae
Source: the annotation of a GenBank genome assembly
GGAAAUAGCUCAAUCACUAGAGCAUGAGACUCUUAAUCUCAGGGUCAUGGUUUCGAGCCCCAAGAUGUCCA